This 460-nucleotide ribosomal RNA is filed under the name uncultured bacterium. RNAcentral describes it as "partial 16S ribosomal RNA". It matches the Rfam family "Bacterial small subunit ribosomal RNA", at positions 338 to 795 of the family's 1533-position model. The record is from RNAcentral.
CCUACGGGUGGCAGCAGUGAGGAAUAUUGGUCAAUGGGCGCGAGCCUGACGCAGCGAAGUAGCGUGAAGGAUGACUGCCCUACGGGUUGUAAACUUCUUUUAUAAAGGAAUAAAGUGACGCACGUGUUCCUUUUUGUAUGUACUUUAUGAAUAAGGAUAGGCUAACUCCGUGCCAGCAGCCGCGGUACUACGGAGGAUCCGAGCGUUAUCCGGAUUUGUUGGGUGUAAAGGGAGCGUAGAUGGGUUGUUAAGUCAGUUGUGAAAGUUUGCGGCUCAACGGUAAAAUUGCAAUUGAUACUGGCAGCCUUGAGUACAGUUGAGGUAGGCGGAAUUCGUGGUGUAGCGGUGAAAUGCGUAGAUAUCACGAAGAACUCCGAUUGCGAAGGCAGCUUACUAAACUGCCACUGACAUUGAUGCUCGAAAGUGUGGGUAUCAAACAGGAUUAGAUACCCGGGUAGUC